AACACUCGGAUCAACUUCUCCUCCUCUAGGGCCGUGAGUGAUGAAGAGACAAUGACGGGCAAUGUCUCGUUGUCUCCCAGAAAGAUGUACUUUAAAUGAUCGGGCAACGGUUUAAGCUCAAGUACGGGUGCCUGAAUCACUGAGGGUAACAUCUUAUUAGUGGAAACUGGAAUUGAAAUUGGGUUAGAAGGCUUACCAUGGUGUUGAGGGAGUGACUCAAGGGCAGCCACUAUCUCGGCCUCCUCCUCACUUCUAGGCACGGCAAAACCAGAUGUUUGCCCAAUUCCUUGUGCAAUUGUCGUUUCAAGUGUAUCCCUCUCCAAACAAUCGAGAAAAUCCUGCGCCAAAUCAUCAAUUAUAUCAAUAGAAAAGC
Molecule: long non-coding RNA, 373 nt
Filed under: Malus domestica (apple)
Lineage: Eukaryota; Viridiplantae; Streptophyta; Magnoliopsida; Rosales; Rosaceae
Description: long non-coding RNA (MDOM_LNC020585)
Source: RNAcentral